CAGGGCUGCGAGCGGAUCCUCGGCAGAGGGGGACAAGCGGGGGCGUAGGCAGCUGCGGGGGACGUGGCGGCCGAGGUCCGCAGAACUACCGCUGGGGUGGGGGAGUGGCCUGUGGGACUGCGGGCGGGAAGGGCGGGGAAGUGCCUGCGAGUGGAUCGCCUUGUCUGGGAAAGGGGCGGGGACUGUAUGGUGGCGCCCGAGGCCUGAGAACAGGAGAGGGUUUGUUUGGGCGAGGCGGCGGGGGCGGGGCCGGGGAAAAAACGGUUACGGGGGUGGGGCCGGGCCUGCGUGGUGGAACUCGGAACCUGGGAAAGGGCGGGCUCGGCGGCCGAGGCCGGGGGGCGUGGUCUGCGCGGCGUUUAAGUAGCAUCUGGCGGCUGGGGCGGCUUGCGGUUGCCUGGCGCCUGAGAGCUAGGGAAAGCGGAUGACGUCAGGCAGAAAAGUGGAAUCCGAGCCUUAGGGCUGUGGGCGGGCGGGAGGGAACCGGAGCCUGCGUGGUGGAGGGAGCUGGCGCCUGGGAACGAGGCUUGUGACGUGGGCCGAGGGGCGUGUCCUGAGGCCGAGGAAAGACUGCAGAGGGGAGGUGGUGCCUGUGAAGCAGAAAAUGGCGCCUGCGAAUGAGCAAAGUUUGUGACGCGGCGAGGUUUUUGCCUCUGGCCGAGGCCUUCUUCCCAGGACGGGAGAAAGUGCAGGGAAUACAUACCGAGAUUUUUACGGAUAAAGAACCGUCUUGUAAGCCGCUUACUCGCAAAUGGUUGGAAAAAAUAGCGUACAUAAAAAUACGAUGGCAGUUCUGUCAUGACUGCCAUCUGGGCUGACGGAUCAUGAGACCUCCCAAUUUCAGAGAUGUUAAACAUUUUUAAAGUGUCCUUGAACCCGAAGAAAUCUGGUAGUCUUAUUCUGUGAAAAUUGGUAUAAACGUCAGGCUCCUGUGAAGACUAGAAAUUCAGGUAGGAGGGAUUUUGCUCACCUCUGCAGUGUGAUUUUUUUUUUAAUUGCUGUAUAGUUGAUACACAAUGUUACAUUAGUUCCAGGUGUAUGCUACAGAGUGGUUUUAAUGUUAAUUUUCCUUAAAAAUCUGCUCUUCAUUCAAGGAUGAGCAGUGCCUCCCCUUGCAAGGAAAAGCUUUAGGGAAGAUGUUAAGGUCAUAGACCUGCCAGCGGAGGCAUUGAAAGCCACAGCAGGGAGGGGUGGGGGGUCAGUGAUGGGGUGUUCCAGAAGAGUGAUGGGAGGUUUGUGGCAUGCGCCACUGGGGCAGGGAGGGCGUGUGUUCCUGGUAUGAGUGAUGUGCAGGGGGUUCAGUGCAGCAAAAACAAACAACAGAACCUCACCAAAAUGUGUGCCUGUGUGGGUGACGCAUGACUGUUGCAAGGUUUUCUAGCUCUCCAUCCCUCCACCUCCCUCAUCCUUUUAUGAACACAGGAAAAGUUAACAUUUUAAAGAAUCCCACUGAAAGGGUUAAAUUGCUAGAACACUAAUCACUACAGCGUGAGAGUAAUAUUUUUAAAAAUUGUUUAUUUGAGGCGGUUAACUUUGGGACAGCCUCUUAUAUGUCACAAAUCCCAUAGCAGAGCAGGUGUGUGACUGAGUGUGGACAGGGGUUGUGUGUCUGCGAGCUUUGAGGUCCAAGCCCUGGGACUGAAUCAGUAACGGCUAACAUUCAUUUAGCAUUUUUUUUAAAGAUUUUAUUUAUUUAUAUGACAGAUAGAGAUCACAAGUAGGCUGAGAGGCAGGC
Long non-coding RNA from Mustela erminea (ermine), 1735 nucleotides. RefSeq lists it as uncharacterized. The record is from RefSeq and is a predicted model, not a curated record. The transcript is spliced from 4 exons. Lineage: Eukaryota; Metazoa; Chordata; Mammalia; Carnivora; Mustelidae.